GCGGGUGUAGCUCAAUGGUAGAGCGCGGUCUUUCCAAGUCCGAUGUUGAGGGUUCGAGCCCCUUCGCCCGCU
RNAcentral lists this transfer RNA (72 nucleotides) under Myxococcales bacterium. RNAcentral's name for it is "tRNA-Gly". It matches the Rfam family "tRNA". From Rfam's summary of the family: Transfer RNA (tRNA) molecules are approximately 80 nucleotides in length. Their secondary structure includes four short double-helical elements and three loops (D, anti-codon, and T loops). Further hydrogen bonds mediate the characteristic L-shaped molecular structure. tRNAs have two regions of fundamental functional importance: the anti-codon, which is responsible for specific mRNA codon recognition, and the 3' end, to which the tRNAs corresponding amino acid is attached (by aminoacyl-tRNA synthetases). tRNAs cope with the degeneracy of the genetic code in two manners: having more than one tRNA (with a specific anti-codon) for a particular amino acid; and 'wobble' base-pairing, i.e. permitting non-standard base-pairing at the 3rd anti-codon position. The record is from RNAcentral. Lineage: Bacteria; Pseudomonadati; Myxococcota; Myxococcia; Myxococcales.